GACGAACGCUGGCGGCGUGCUUAACACAUGCAAGUCGAACGGAAAGGCCUCUUUCGGGGGGUACUCGAGUGGCGAACGGGUGAGUAACACGUGAGUAACCUGCCCUUGACUUUGGGAUAACUUCAGUAAACUGGGGCUAAUACCGGAUAGGAGCUCCUGCUGCAUGGUGGGGGUUGGAAAGUUUCGGCGGUUGGGGAUGGACUCGCGGCUUAUCAGCUUGUUGGUGGGGUAGUGGCUUACCAAGGCUUUGACGGGUAGCCGGACUGAGAGGGUGACCGGCCACAUUGGGACUGAGAUACGGCCCAGACUCCUACGGGAGGCAGCAGUGGGGAAUAUUGCACAAUGGGUGGAAGCCUGAUGCAGCAACGCCGUGUGCGGGAUGACGGCCUUCGGGUUGUAAACCGCUUUCGCUCAUGACGAAGCUUUGUGUGACGGUAGUGGGUAAAGAAGCACCGGCUAACUACGUG
Molecule: ribosomal RNA, 467 nt
Filed under: uncultured bacterium
Lineage: Bacteria
Description: partial 16S ribosomal RNA
Rfam family: Bacterial small subunit ribosomal RNA
Source: RNAcentral